RNAcentral lists this unclassified non-coding RNA (406 nucleotides) under soil metagenome. Its description in RNAcentral is "partial contains 5.8S ribosomal RNA, internal transcribed spacer 2, and large subunit ribosomal RNA". The stretch from base 1 to 121 matches the Rfam family "5.8S ribosomal RNA", at positions 35 to 154 of the family's 154-position model. The record is from RNAcentral.
GAUGAAGAACGCAGCGAAAUGCGAUAAGUAAUGUGAAUUGCAGAAUUCAGUGAAUCAUCGAAUCUUUGAACGCACCUUGCGCCCUUUGGCUAUUCUGAAGGGCAUGCCUGUUUGAGUAUCGUGAACACCUCAACUCUCAUGGUCUGCCAUGAUGAGCUUGGACUUUGGGGGUCUUGCUGGCCUAUAGUCAGCUCCUCUUAAAUGAAUCAGCUUGCCAGUGUUUGGUGGCAUCACAGGUGUGAUAACUAUCUACGCUUGUGGUUUUCCAUCAAGUCACCUUCAGCGAUGGAGGUUCGCUGGGGCUCAUAAAGAAGGCCUCUCCUCGGUGAGGAUGGCUCCUUUGAACGUUUGAUCUCAAAUCAGGUAGGACUACCCGCUGAACUUAAGCAUAUCAAUAAGCGGAGGA